This 254-nucleotide ribosomal RNA is filed under the name uncultured bacterium. Its description in RNAcentral is "partial 16S ribosomal RNA". It matches the Rfam family "Bacterial small subunit ribosomal RNA", at positions 524 to 776 of the family's 1533-position model. The record is from RNAcentral.
GACGAACCGUGCGAAUGUUAUUCGGAAUCACUGGGCUUAAAGCGCGUGUAGGCGGAUGGGAACGUCGGUCGCUGAAAGCCCCCGGCUCAACCGGGGAACGGGCGCCGAAACGACCCGUCUCGAGGGACAUAGGGGGACCUGGAACUUCCGGUGGAGCGGUGAAAUGCGUUGAGAUCGGAAGGAACGCCCGUGGCGAAAGCGAGGUCCUUGAUGUCUUCUGACGCCGAGACGCGAAAGCCAGGGGAGCGAACGGG